AAUGAAACUUAAAAUGUAGUUUCCCAGUUACAUUAGCCCCAGUGAAUAGUGAUUACCAUAGUGAAUAGAGCAGAUGCAGAACAGCCUCAUCACUGCAGAAAGUUCUAGUAAGUGGGCAGCUUUGCGCUUGAGGCUGCACCUGGCAGAAAAGGCAUUCUCAUAGAGGUACCACACUCACACUCGAGUGUACCAGCUCCAGCCUCAAAAACACGCAUUUCUUUUUCUAGGAAGGAGCAAAGGCUUAAGUGCAGAGAGAGGGUAGAAGAACCUUGGGUGGGGGCCAGUUGUGAGGUUGCCUAGCAACCUGGCUGGGCAGCAGGCGUGAGGAAAGGCUCGCAGCUGACCUGUCAGAUGAGCAGCCACGGCCAGCGGGUCAGAGCCAAAGAAUGGAGCAGUCAAGGCGAAAGAACCUGUUACAGAAUAGCCAGUGGGUGGAUGGGAACAUGGGUGGUGCGUGUACAAGCAGCUGAGAGAAUGGCUGGGCAGAUGGGAAGGUGGACGCACAAACAGGAAGGGGACACCAGAGACUACCCUGUUGCUGGCUUCUACGAACACCAGCCUGACGGGUGUUACUGCCUUCACCUGGCACUGUGUAUUUAUGGUUUUUAGUAGCCUAAACCACGUUUAUCUUGUUCACCAAUGUAUUAUUAAUAGUAUUAUUAAAUUACUGUAUCUGGCCAAUA
Odocoileus virginianus texanus is the source of this 683-nucleotide long non-coding RNA. RefSeq lists it as uncharacterized. The record is from RefSeq and is a predicted model, not a curated record. NCBI's taxonomy places the organism in Eukaryota, Metazoa, Chordata, Mammalia, Artiodactyla, Cervidae.